AGAACGCUUCUGCUUGCAGAGGCUAGUAAAGUGGCGCACGGGUGAGUAACACGUGGGUAAUCUACCUUCGGAUUGGGGAUAACAUUGCGAAAGCGAUGCUAAUACCGGAUAAUAUCGCUUGAUUUUAGGAUCUUGCGAUCAAAGGUGGCCUCUUCAUGAAAGCUAUUGUCUGAAGAUGAGCCCGCGUCCCAUUAGCUUGUUGGUAGGGUAACGGCCUACCAAGGCAACGAUGGGUAGCUGGUCUGAGAGGAUGAUCAGCCACACUGGAACUGACACACGGUCCAGACUCCUACGGGAGGCAGCAGUGAGGAAUUUUGCGCAAUGGGCGAAAGCCUGACGCAGCAACGCCGCGUGAGUGAUGAAGGCUUUCGGGUCGUAAAGCUCUGUCAAGUGGGAAGAACCUAUAAAGUGCCAAUACCACUUUGUACUGACGGUACCACUGAAGGAAGCACCGGCUAACUCCGUGCCAGCAGCCGCGGUAACACGGGGGGUGCAAGCGUUACUCGGAAUCAUUGGGCGUAAAGGGCGCGCAGGCGGCCCAAUCAGUCAGAUGUGAAAGCCCGGGGCUCAACCCCGGAAGUGCAUUUGAUACUGUUGGGCUUGAGUAUGGGAGAGGAAAGUGGAAUUCCUGGUGUAGAGGUGAAAUUCGUAGAUAUCAGGAGGAACACCUGUGGCGAAGGCGACUUUCUGGACCAAUACUGACGCUGAGGCGCGAAGGCGUGGGUAGCAAACAGGAUUAGAUACCCUGGUAGUCCACGCAGUAAACGUUGUUCACUAGGUGUAGCGGGUAUUGACCCCUGC
RNAcentral lists this ribosomal RNA (801 nucleotides) under uncultured bacterium. Its description in RNAcentral is "bacterial SSU rRNA". It matches the Rfam family "Bacterial small subunit ribosomal RNA", at positions 67 to 841 of the family's 1533-position model. The record is from RNAcentral.